AUACGUAGGUGACAAGCGUUAUCCGGAUUUACUGGGCGUAAAGGGAGUGUAGGCGGUCUUGCAAGUCAGUAGUGAAAUCCCUCGGCUUAACUGAGGAACUGCAACUAAAACUAUCUUUCUUGAGUGCGGGAGAGGAAAGUGGAAUUCCUAGUGUAGCGGUGAAAUGCGUAGAUAUUAGGAGGAACACCAGUGGCGAAGGCGACUUACUGGACUGUAACUGACGCUGAGGCGCGAAAGUGUGGGGAGCAAACAGGAUUAGAUACCCUGGUAGUCCACACUGUAAACGAUGAAUGCUAGGUGUAGGGGGUAUCGACCCCUUCUGUGCCGCAGUCAACACAAUAAGCAUUCCGCCUGGGGAGUACGGCCGCAAGGUUGAAACUCAAAGGAAUUGACGGGG
This 397-nucleotide ribosomal RNA is filed under the name uncultured bacterium. Its description in RNAcentral is "partial 16S ribosomal RNA". It matches the Rfam family "Bacterial small subunit ribosomal RNA", at positions 523 to 918 of the family's 1533-position model. The record is from RNAcentral.